GUGGAGCAGCUGACUCUGGGACAUCUGCUGGUGCACCUGAAAAACGAGUGUCAGUUUGAGGAACUCCCCUGCCUGCGUGCCGACUGCAAAGAGAAAGUACUGAGGAGAGACUUGCGGGAUCACGUGGAAAAGGCCUGUAAAUACCGAGAGGCCACGUGCGCCCACUGCAAGAGCCAAGUCCCCAUGAUCACACUGCAGGUGCGCCGCUGCCUGUGCCCGUCCCUGCUCGCCAGGUGCAGAGAUGACGGUCCUAACCGGGAGAGCGGAAGGGGAUUAAAUAGCAGUUUUCAUCUAA
Molecule: long non-coding RNA, 295 nt
Filed under: Rattus norvegicus (Norway rat)
Lineage: Eukaryota; Metazoa; Chordata; Mammalia; Rodentia; Muridae
Description: long non-coding RNA NONRATT025363
Source: RNAcentral